Myripristis murdjan (pinecone soldierfish) is the source of this 72-nucleotide non-coding RNA. The record is from the annotation of a RefSeq genome assembly. NCBI's taxonomy places the organism in Eukaryota, Metazoa, Chordata, Actinopteri, Holocentriformes, Holocentridae.
GCCCCGGUGGCACAGUGGAUAGUGUCUCUGCCUGCCAUGCAGGAGACCAGGGUUCAAUUCCCCGCCUGGGCA